This 291-nucleotide ribosomal RNA is filed under the name Thalassiosira rotula. RNAcentral describes it as "partial Bacterial small subunit ribosomal RNA". It matches the Rfam family "Bacterial small subunit ribosomal RNA", at positions 46 to 339 of the family's 1533-position model. The record is from RNAcentral. Lineage: Eukaryota; Bacillariophyta; Thalassiosirophyceae; Thalassiosirales; Thalassiosiraceae.
GCCUAACACAUGCAAGUCGAGCGGUAGAGAGAAGCUUGCUUCUCUUGAGAGCGGCGGACGGGUGAGUAAUGCCUAGGAAUCUGCCUGGUAGUGGGGGAUAACGUUCGGAAACGGACGCUAAUACCGCAUACGUCCUACGGGAGAAAGCAGGGGACCUUCGGGCCUUGCGCUAUCAGAUGAGCCUAGGUCGGAUUAGCUAGUUGGUGGGGUAAUGGCUCACCAAGGCGACGAUCCGUAACUGGUCUGAGAGGAUGAUCAGUCACACUGGAACUGAGACACGGUCCAGACUCC